UACGAAGGGGGCUAGCGUUGCUCGGAAUCACUGGGCGUAAAGCGCACGUAGGCGGGUCUUUAAGUCAGGGGGGAAAUCCUGGAGCUCAACUCCAGAACUGCCUUUGAUACUGGCAAUCUCGAGUCCGGGAGAGGUGAGUGGAACUGCGAGUGUAGAGGUGAAAUUCGUAGAUAUUCGCAAGAACACCAGUGGCGAAGGCGGCUCACUGGCCCGGUACUGACGCUGAGGUGCGAAAGCGUGGGGAGCAAACAGG
RNAcentral lists this ribosomal RNA (253 nucleotides) under uncultured bacterium. Its description in RNAcentral is "partial 16S ribosomal RNA". It matches the Rfam family "Bacterial small subunit ribosomal RNA", at positions 524 to 776 of the family's 1533-position model. The record is from RNAcentral.